Molecule: long non-coding RNA, 1137 nt
Organism: Pistacia vera
Lineage: Eukaryota; Viridiplantae; Streptophyta; Magnoliopsida; Sapindales; Anacardiaceae
Exons: 6
Source: RefSeq, a predicted model, not a curated record
AUUCGGCUACGGCUUCCCGCCCUAAAAUUUUCCGAAGGCAAAUUCUUUCCACCCAAAACACCAAAGUUCACUGUCGAAACCCAUUUUCCCCCAAAUUUCGACCAAGUCAAACCUAGGGCAAGAAAAAAAAUUCUGCCAAAAACCCAAAUCUCCUCCACUAAAUUAAUCAGAUCCCGUAAACCCUGAAUCUCCUCUACUAAAUCGCCUAACUCUCUUCCACUAAAUCUCCCAAAUCUCUUCCAUCACUUGUUUCUUUAGUUCCCGAUAGUAGCAAUAAACAGUGAAGUCGUCACUUUGCCACCUCCGCCGCCGCAAACAACUUACAUUAUAUCAACUUGUCUUGACUAAUUUCUUUAUUCAACUAUGUUAAUAUCUCUUAGGUCUACGUCGAAAGUGUGAAAUGAUGCUAAUUUUUUUUUUUUUUUUUUUUUUUCCCUUUCUUCCCCCAACAAGACAGGCUUCCACAAUGCGAUGUCGGUUCAAAGCACUAUCACAUCUAUCAGCUUUGGAAGUCCUACAUUAAAAAGCCAACUGUACUAGUUGGACCCAUCCUUGGUGCUGCUGUAGCAAUUGACUUUGCAGUGAACUAUCCUGAAGCUGUUGGAAAGAUGGUUUUGAUCAACCCCGGUGUUUAUGCAAAAGGCACUGAUAACCUUGCAAAAUUACGUAAGAUAGUAGCCUAUGUUGGGAAGUUGUUUUAACUUUCACAGUGGUAUCUUAAUCCAUUCUGCUCGGAAGGUGUCUAAAAAAGGGGCUAAUAUCUCAUGACAAAAAGGACCCCGGGAAGUGUUGAAUGUGGGUUUUAUAUAAUAAGAUACGUGAGAGAUAUAGUUGAGAAUGGGUUGGCAUUACUGAAAGACAAUUUCUUGGGAAAAGAAACAUACAAAGAUGCAAAGGUCGAUAAAGUCAGAGCAGAAUGGGCAAUGUACGUAUCAAACUUUUUUUAGUUAUUGUUUCAACGAUGUCAGAGGGCAAUGAGGGCAAAAACUAUGCAUCAAACUUUUCAUUUGUUUACGCAAUAUUGUAAAAUAGUUACUGUUGUUCAAUUUUGUUUACCCAGAGCAACAAUAAUAUAUGUACCAUUCGAUCAAUUAUUUGAUGUCUCGUUGCAUAUUGUUGAAUGGUGAUAAUUGUUGG